Molecule: ribosomal RNA, 2999 nt
Filed under: Methanosarcina acetivorans C2A
Lineage: Archaea; Methanobacteriati; Methanobacteriota; Methanomicrobia; Methanosarcinales; Methanosarcinaceae
Description: bacterial LSU rRNA
Rfam family: Archaeal large subunit ribosomal RNA
Source: RNAcentral
UUUUUCGGGGAAGGAUGGAUAGCCUGUGCUGAAGCUCAGGCAUAUGAAGUCGUGUAUAUGUGCUGUAUACUGGACGCUUACUGGACCUGGUUAGGUAAUUAGGAAUUAUGCUAUCAGGUGGAUGGCUCGGCUCAAGAGCUUAUGAAGGACGUGCCAAGCUGCGAUAAGCCCGGGGUAGGUGCAUGGAGCCAAUGAACCCGGGAUUUCCGAAUGGGACCUCUCCGUAGUGAUCAUUCAUGAUCGGGAACGCUCCGAAUUGAAACAUCUCAGUAGGAGCGGGAAAAGAAAUCAAUUGAGAUGCCGUAAGUAACGGCGAGUGAAACCGGCACAGUUCAAACCGAAUCCCUUCGGGGACAUGUGGUGUUGUAGGGCUGUUCAAACGUCUGGCGGUAAAAUCGAACUUGCCUGGAACGGCAGACCAUAGAGUGUGACAGUCACUUAGAUGUACGCCAAAAGACCGGAACAUGUCCCUGAGUACCGUGCGUUGGAUAUCGUGCGGGAAUUUGGGGGGCACCAACCUCCAAAACUAAAUACUCCUUGAGACCGAUAGCGAAAUAGUAGGGUGACCGAACGCUGAAAAGUACCCCGAGAAGGGAGGUGCAAAGUGCCUGAAACCUGAUAGUGAUGGAACGAUACGGCAUGAAAGGAUCUCUGGCAUGAAGGAAUCAUUCGCGAGGAUGUAGUACGAAUGUCACUGCCAGUGUCGUAUCUUACGUUUUGAAGAACGGGCCAGGGAGUGUAUCUUGGUGGCAAUGGCUAACCUUUUAUCUGGGCAGCCGAAGCGAAAGCAACAUGUGCGCAGCCUUUUGGCGAGGCACGACGUAUACAAGUGCGUGGAGUCACCGGGGUACGACCCGAAGCCGGGUGAUCUAGGCGUGGGCAGGUUGAAGCGUGGCGAAAGCUACGUGGAGGACCGUAAACGGUAUUGAUCUGCAAAUCAUUCGUGUGACCUGCGUCUCGUAGUGAAAUGCUAAUCUAACCCGGCAUCCGCUGGUUCCUUCCGAAACAUGUCGCAGCAUGACCUGACUUGAGAUCGUCGGUGGAGUAGAGCACUGAUUGGCGAUUCCGGGGGAGAAAUCCCUCGCUCGCUUGUCAAACUCCAAACCCCCCGUCAUCCUAGAAAGUCGGAGUCCGGACUGCUGGGGUAAGCUUGUAGUCCGUAAGGGAGACAACCCAGCCCGUGGUUAAGGUCCCCAAGUGUCGACUAAGUGUUAAUACUAAAGGGCGUCCCAAGCCCCAGACAGCUGGAAGGUUAGCUUAGAAGCAGCUACCCUUCAAAGAGUGCGUAACAGCUCACCAGUCGAGGUUUGGGGCCCCGAAAAUUGACGGGGCUCAAGUCGACCACCGAUACCACGGAGUACCGCAAGGUAAUCUCGUAGGAAGGCGUUGUGUUCGGGUCGAAGCAGGGCUGUGAAGUCCUGUGGACCGUUCACAAACGAAAAUCCUGGUAAUAGUAGCAGCAAAGCAGGGUGAGACUCCCUGCCGCCGAAGGGGCCAGGUUUCCUCGGCAAUGUUCGUCAGCCGAGGGUUAGUCGGUCCUAAGACGUACCGUAAUUCGAGUACGCCGAAAGGGAAACAGGUUAAUAUUCCUGUACCAUUUAGCGUUUAGUCUGACGUCUCAGGGCAAGCCGAGCGGCGUCGUCGCGCCGUCUAAGCAGCGAACCCCGUGGAGAGCCGUAAUGGCGAGAAGCGGGCGAAUCUGUAAUGGCACAAGUCGGCUUCACCCCGGGACCCGUGAAAAGGACAGCUAAAUGUCCGUACCGAGAACUGACACAGGUGCCCCUAGCUGAAAAGGCUAAGGCGUGUCGGAGUAAUUCAGUUAAGGGAAUUCGGCAAAUUAGCUCCGUAACUUCGGGAUAAGGAGUGCCUGCUGUGUAGACAGCAGGUCGCAGUGACCAGGGGGCUCUAACUGUCUAAUACCAACAUAGGAGAUUGCAAACCCGUAAGGGCUAGUACAAUCUCUGAAUCCUGCUCAGUGCAGGUACCUGAAACCCCGGUUCAACGGGAAGAAGGGCCUGUAAACAGCGGGGGUAACUAUGACCCUCUUAAGGUAGCGUAGUACCUUGUCGCUUAAUUGGCGACUUGCAUGAAUGGAUCAAUGAGAGCCCUACUGUCCCUAACUGGAGUCCGGUGAAGCUUACAUUCUAGUGCACAGUCUAGAGACCUCUAGGGGGAAGUGAAGACCCCGUGGAGCUUUACUGCAGCCUGUCGUUGGGUUGUGGUUCUGGAUGUACAGUGUAGGUAGGAGGCAUCGAAGCGGGUGCGCCAGCAUUCGUGGAGCCGUCCUUGGGACACUACCCUUCCGGGACUACGACCCUAACUCUGAGAAGAGGACCCCGAUAGGUGGGCAGUUUGCCUGGGGCGGGACGCCCUUGAAAAGAUAUCAAGGGCGCGCAAUGGUUGACUCAAGCGGGUCGGAAACUCGCUGAAGAGUGCAAGAGCAUAAGUCAGCCUGACGUUAUUCAGCACAGCAGUGGAUGACGAGACGAAAGUCGGCUCUAGCGAACUUUUGAGCCUCCUUGGUGGGGGCCAAAAAUGACAGAAAAGUUACCCCGGGGAUAAUUGAGUCGUUGCCGGCAAGAGUACAUAUCGACCCGGCAGCUUGCUACCUCGAUGUCGGUUCUUUCCAUCCUGGCCGUGCAGCAGCGGCCAAGGGUGAGGUUGUUCGCCUAUUAAAGGAGAUCGUGAGCUGGGUUUAGACCGUCGUGAGACAGGUCGGUUACUAUCUACUAGAGGUGCCCGAGGUCUGCGGGUAAGCUGCUUUUAGUACGAGAGGAACCAAGCAGCGGCGCCACUGGUGUACCGGUUGUCUGACAAGGCAUCGCCGGGCAGCUACGCGCUCAGGAAUAAGAGCUGAAUGCAUCUAAGCUCGAACUCUGACCUAAAAAGAGACCUCUUUAAGGAUUCCGGUAAAAGACCGGUUUGAUAGAAACGGGAUGUAAGCACCAAGGCAACGAGGUGUUCAGUCCGCGUUAACUAACCAUUCGUUCCUUUCACUU